Molecule: ribosomal RNA, 292 nt
Filed under: uncultured bacterium
Lineage: Bacteria
Description: partial 16S ribosomal RNA
Source: RNAcentral
GGACUACAGGGGUAUCUAAUCCUGUUUGCUCCCCACGCUUUCGCGCCUCAGCGUCAGUUAAUGUCCAGCAGGCCGCCUUCGCCACUGGUGUUCCUCCGUAUAUCUACGCAUUUCACCGCUACACACGGAAUUCCGCCUGCCUCUCCAUCACUCAAGAACUUCAGUUUCCACCGCAGUUUCAGGGUUGAGCCCUGAAAUUUCACGGCAGACUUAAAGUCCCGCCUACGCGCCCUUUACACCCAGUAAAUCCGGACAACGCUCGCCACCUACGUAUUACCGCGGCUGCUGGCAC